GACCAUAAAUGAGCAGACCGAAUCUUAACCAUAAGAUUCACAACAUCGUCUGCUGAGCUGAGCCCGAAGAGAGUUCUAGGGUGUCGUCCAUGGCUGUUAACCAGUUUGGAACUUAAGCAAGAAAACCAAUGGAUGCCAAACCAAAGAGAUUGACAAAUGGAGAAGCAAACGUGAACGGAAUGGAUGGAUCAGUGAACCGAGUGCGGCAGCUCCGCAAGAGGCUCUCUCUCAAGAACUUCAAGAGAUGUGGCUGGCAGGUGGGAGGUGGGAAGCGCUGUUGGCCAAUGCAAUGCAUGACUCCCUUUAUCGAUCUUGAUUUUGAGAUUGGCUCUCUCGUGAUCUAAUAUCUGCUACUCAGGGUUGAAGGGAUUUCUUUCCUAUUAACCUGAUGUACUGUGCAGGUAAGUUGAGAAGGAGAUAAGAAAUUGGUUGGAAUCUUUCAAGAGAAAAGAGAGAGAGCGUAUGCUGUUCUGACCUUUGCCAUGCACAAUGCGGGCUUAUGUUUCUUGCUGGUACUUCCCUCACACCCAAUAAUGAGUUAAUCAACUUUGACUUUCGGUGGUAUCAUGUCUACAUCUUUCCACAUGAUUUUGACAUUUAAAAGACACAGGAAGAUACUUUUCAGAAUUCAUAUCAUGAGUUAAUAUAAAUGAAUUAUCAAAAUAUGUUUUAAUUCUAAUCUGUGCAUACAUGUAUCUUGUACACAAGAGCCUGAAGAGAUGAGCAGUUUCUAAUUCAUUUCAUAUUGUUGCUUUUAUGAUUAUAAAAUGAUGAUAAUAAUAGCUGGAUUUAUAGGGCACUUUUUGCCUGAGGAUACAAAGUGCUGCUAUUAUUACCCUCGCUUGAGCUGUGCCGUAGGUGCUCAAGCAUUCAAGGGAUUUCUUCCUACCUAUAAACCUGGGUUGAGUG
Molecule: long non-coding RNA, 909 nt
Organism: Lytechinus variegatus (green sea urchin)
Lineage: Eukaryota; Metazoa; Echinodermata; Echinoidea; Temnopleuroida; Toxopneustidae
Exons: 3
Source: RefSeq, a predicted model, not a curated record